AGUGAACGCUGGCGGUAGGCCUAGCACAUGCAAGUCGAACGGCAGCACAGUAAGAGCUUGCUCUUACGGGUGGCGAGUGGCGGACGGGUGAGGAAUACAUCGGAAUCUACUUUUUCGUGGGGGAUAGCGUAGGGAAACUUACGCUAAUACCGCAUACGACCUACGGGUGAAAGCAGGGGAUCUUCGGACCUUGCGCGAUUGAAUGAGCCGAUGUCGGAUUAGCUAGUUGGCGGGGUAAAGGCCCACCAAGGCGACGAUCCGUAGCUGGUCUGAGAGGAUGAUCAGCCACACUGGAACUGAGACACGGUCCAGACUCCUACGGGAGGCAGUAGUGGGGAAUAUUGGACAAUGGGCGCAAGCCUGAUCCAGCCAUACCGCGUGGGUGAAGAAGGCCUUCGGGUUGUAAAGCCCUUUUGUUGGGAAAGAAAAGCAGCAGGUUAAUACCCCGCUGUUCUGACGGUACCCAAAGAAUAAGCACCGGCUAACUUCGUG
RNAcentral lists this ribosomal RNA (492 nucleotides) under uncultured bacterium. Its description in RNAcentral is "partial 16S ribosomal RNA". It matches the Rfam family "Bacterial small subunit ribosomal RNA", at positions 29 to 507 of the family's 1533-position model. The record is from RNAcentral.